RNAcentral lists this ribosomal RNA (429 nucleotides) under Chloroflexota bacterium. RNAcentral describes it as "Chloroflexi bacterium partial 16S ribosomal RNA". It matches the Rfam family "Bacterial small subunit ribosomal RNA", at positions 355 to 776 of the family's 1533-position model. Lineage: Bacteria; Bacillati; Chloroflexota. The record is from RNAcentral.
UGGGGAAUAUUGCACAAUGGGCGCAAGCCUGAUGCAGCCAUGCCGCGUGUAUGAAGAAGGCCUUCGGGUUGUAAAGUACUUUCAGUCGGGAGGAAGGUGUCAAGGUUAAUAACCUUGGCAAUUGACGUUACCGACAGAAGAAGCACCGGCUAACUCCGUGCCAGCAGCCGCGGUAAUACAGAGGGUGCAAGCGUUAAUCGGAAUUACUGGGCGUAAAGCGCACGCAGGCGGUUGAUUGAGUCAGAUGUGAAAUCCCCGGGCUUAACCCGGGAAUUGCAUCUGAUACUGGUCAGCUAGAGUCGUGUAGAGGGGGGUAGAAUUCCAUGUGUAGCGGUGAAAUGCGUAGAGAUGUGGAGGAAUACCGGUGGCGAAGGCGGCCCCCUGGACAAAGACUGACGCUCAGGUGCGAAAGCGUGGGGAGCAAACAGG